UAACGCGUGAGGAACCUGCCUUCCAGAGGGGGACAACAGUUGGAAACGACUGCUAGUACCGCAUGACACAUGACCGUGGCAUCACGGACAUGUCAAAGAUUUAUCGCUGGAAGAUGGCCUCGCGUCUGAUUAGCUAGUAGGCGGGGUAACGGCCCACCUAGGCGACGAUCAGUAGCCGGACUGAGAGGUUGACCGGCCACAUUGGGACUGAGAUACGGCCCAGACUCCUACGGAAGGCAGCAG
Molecule: ribosomal RNA, 243 nt
Filed under: uncultured bacterium
Lineage: Bacteria
Description: partial 16S ribosomal RNA
Rfam family: Bacterial small subunit ribosomal RNA
Source: RNAcentral